UACGUAGGGGGCAAGCGUUGUCCGGAAUCAUUGGGCGUAAAGAGCGUGUAGGCGGCCCGGUAAGUCCGCUGUGAAAGUCCAGGGCUCAACCCUGGAAUGCCGGUGGAAACUGUCGGGCUAGAGUCCGGAAGAGGAGAGUGGAAUUCCUGGUGUAGCGGUGAAAUGCGCAGAUAUCAGGAGGAACACCCGUGGCGAAAGCGGCUCUCUGGGACGGUACUGACGCUGAGACGCGAAAGCGUGGGGAGCAAACAGG
RNAcentral lists this ribosomal RNA (253 nucleotides) under uncultured bacterium. RNAcentral's name for it is "partial 16S ribosomal RNA". It matches the Rfam family "Bacterial small subunit ribosomal RNA", at positions 524 to 776 of the family's 1533-position model. The record is from RNAcentral.